GGCGANCGGGUGAGUNNCNCGUGAGCCNCCUGCCCUUGACUUUGGGAUACCAGCUGGAAACAGCUGCUAAUACCGGAUAUGACCUCGUUUCGCAUGAUUCGGGGUGGAAAGCUCCGGCGGUCAGGGAUGGGCUCGCGGCCUAUCAGCUUGUUGGUGAGGUAAUGGCUCACCAAGGCGACGAUCAGUAGCUGGUCUGAGAGGAUGAUCAGCCACACUGGGACUGAGACACGGCCCAGACUCCUACGGGAGGCAGCAGUGGGGAAUAUUGGACGAUGGGCGCAAGCCUGAUCCAGCAAUGCCGCGUGAGUGAUGAAGGCCUUAGGGUUGUAAAGCUCUUUUACCCGGGAUGAUAAUGACAGUACCGGGAGAAUAAGCUCCGGCUAACUCCGUGCCAGCAGCCGCGGUAAU
RNAcentral lists this ribosomal RNA (408 nucleotides) under uncultured bacterium. Its description in RNAcentral is "bacterial SSU rRNA". It matches the Rfam family "Bacterial small subunit ribosomal RNA", at positions 97 to 524 of the family's 1533-position model. The record is from RNAcentral.